GGCCCGGCUCGGCCCGGCCCCUCCCGGGACCCGGGAGCCACAGGGACCCUUCCCGGGUUUCUAAAGGGUCUGAAGGGCGAGAGGAUGGGCGGCGGGUGGGGUGUGGCAAGAGAAUAAGGCAGAAUCCGCCGGAGAGGUUGUCCGGGGCACGGUGUGGGUGUCUGCAACGGGGUCAAGUGUGCUGGGGCGCCGCGCGUCUGCGCCGGAAGAGCAAGCGCGUAAAGCGAGCUGGAGCUUCCAGCCAAACACAACCCAGAGUCCCCGUCUCCACCCCCACCCCAGCUAAUGGUGGCUGCACCCCCAAGCUGGAACCUGCCUCUGCAAAAUCAGCCCUCAGCCUCUCAGCUUCAGGGUAUUUUUUGUUAAGUAAGCUCCACACCCAGCGUGAGGCUUGAACGCAUGACCCUGAGAUCAAGAGUCACAAGCUCUACCAAAGGAGCCAGCCAGCUGCCCCUCAAGGUCAGCAGAUGUGAUUCCUCCCCACUUCCCCCACUCCAGCCCAGUCUCUAAGCCUUCAGACUAAGUGGGGUUCCACGCAGAGAAGUGUUUACUUAUUUUUGAGAGAGAGACCGGGGAAGGAGCAGAGAGAGGGGUACAGAGGAUCUGAAGCAAGCACUGUGCUGAUAGCAGAAAGCCUGAUGCAGGGCUUGAACUCAUGAACUGAACCGUGAGAUCAUGACCUGAGCCGACGUUGGACGCUUAACCGACUGAACCACCCAGGCUCCCUGGUUCCUUACCAUCUUGACAUCCUGUCCUCAUUCUCCCUCGGGACGCCUUCCCUCCGCCCAGUCUGGGCCCUUCAGACAAACAUAGAUGAGGGAAUGCUGUCUCUUCCAGGUACCACCUAUGUUCCCUUAACCUCUCCACUUCUUAGUUUCUUCAUCUGUGAAACAGGGACAGUGGCGAAUGGCUCUCGGAUAUGCGGUGAGGCCUAAGCGGCCGAUGGCUCUGGAAGUGUUCAGUACAGUACCAGUACGGAGAGGUGCUCUGGGAUAGGGUCCCUCAUCCUUUCCUUCAGGUACAUCUCCUGCCUCCACUGCCACCCCCCACUCCACCCGCCAGUGGAAACUUUCCCUUGUCUCUGUGCACUGGCUACUUCUGCCCCAUCCCCCACUUCUGAGCAGAGCGGUGGCCCCGGGCAAAGUGGGAGGAGAACCAGGGGACUCCGGGGCACGCCGCCACCAUGCUGAGGAGAUGGGGGCAGACGCAGAGAGCUCUGCAGGGACCUCAGACCAGAACUCCCAUCUGCAGGGCUGGGUCGACCUAGAAUGGCGUCCACUCUUGUCCCUGGGGUUAUUGGGGACCGCUCUUCUGGCCUGGGGAUGGGGAAGGGCUCCCACAGAGUCCCCUGAGGCACCAAAAGGACCAGAAGACUGGUGGGAGAUGAAGGAGGGGAGGCAGGGCAGGGGAAUACCAACCACACACUAUUCCCCGUCUCUGCUCCCUUCCCAUCCACCCCCAUCCUCCACCAAACACGAUCCCUGGGUUAAUUUUUAGCAUCGCAGCUCGUACAUUAGUCACUCCCUGUCACCCACCUACACGGCAGGAGGCUGCUGUGCUGGUGCCGUCAUCCCAUCAUCUGUGAGGUGGGAUCCAGCCCCGCUCUGGGCACCCCCUCAGCCUCCUCCAGGAGCCCCUUCAGCCUGGGUGAGGGGUACCGACAUCACCCCCAAGACUAGCCGCAGGGGAGGAGGGGAGGAACAGGCUGGUCAGAGAGAGGCUGGGUGUCCCUGCUAGGAGGCAAAAGCCGGGGAGGCCCCUGCAGACCCCGCCCCCAGUAAGGUGCUAGGCUCUGCCCAGGCAGCUGGUCUCCUGGCAGUCCCAGGCUCUGGGAACAAAGGUAUGAGAGGGCCCCUCCCUUAGACCUGAGCCUCUAAGAGCUGCUGUUUGUCACGGCUGCAGAGCAGCUGUUCAAACAGGGAGCUUAGGGAGGCUCCAUUUGCUUAAUCAAAUGUCUUCCCUUCCCCGGAACGAGGGUGGCCAGGUGCAGGGACCCUGGCUGGAGCUGACACCCAGCCCCAAAGGGACAGCAGGAGAGGGGCUCACAGUUGCCGGCAUCAGCUGGAGCAGAGGUAGGGCCUCCUCACCACCCCUACCCCAGGGCUGAGAGCUGGGGAGGUGGCCAGUCAACCCUCUGCUGGCCUGGCCCCAAGGAAGCAUUCCUGUUUAUUGAGCACCUGCUGUGUACCACAGCAGUGUUAGGCCCUGGAGGCACAGUGUCAACAGGGCUGAGUUUCCUGCCUUAGGAAGGCAAAAGAUCUAUACAAAGGAAGUCAGUAUAAUCACCAAUGGGGCGUUAAGUGUCGUAAAGAAAAGAAAAUUAAAUAAAUAAAUAAAUAAC
Long non-coding RNA from Neofelis nebulosa (Clouded leopard), 2341 nucleotides. RefSeq lists it as uncharacterized. The transcript has 5 exons. Lineage: Eukaryota; Metazoa; Chordata; Mammalia; Carnivora; Felidae. The record is from RefSeq and is a predicted model, not a curated record.